GAUGAACGCUGGCGGCGUGCUUAACACAUGCCAGUCGAACGAAGCACUUUAUUUGAUUUCCUUCGGGACUGAUUAUUUUGUGACUGAGUGGCGGACGGGUGAGUAACGCGUGGGUAACCUGCCUUGUACAGGGGGAUAACAGUUGGAAACGGCUGCUAAUACCGCAUAAGCGCACAGCAUCGCAUGAUGCAGUGUGAAAAACUCCGGUGGUAUAAGAUGGACCCGCGUUGGAUUAGCUAGUUGGUGAGGUAACGGCCCACCAAGGCGACGAUCCAUAGCCGACCUGAGAGUGUGACCGGCCACAUUGGGACUGAGACACGGCCCAAACUCCUACGGGAGGCAGCAGUGGGGAAUAUUGCACAAUGGGCGAAAGCCUGAUGCAGCGACGCCGCGUGAGCGAAGAAGUAUUUCGGUAUGUAAAGCUCUAUCAGCAGGGAAGAUAAUGACGGUACCUGACUAAGAAGCACCGGCUAAAUACGUG
This 481-nucleotide ribosomal RNA is filed under the name uncultured bacterium. Its description in RNAcentral is "partial 16S ribosomal RNA". It matches the Rfam family "Bacterial small subunit ribosomal RNA", at positions 28 to 507 of the family's 1533-position model. The record is from RNAcentral.